GCGGGGCUAGCUCAAUGGUAGAGCACUGGACUUCCAGUUCAGUUGUCGGGGUUCGAUUCCACCGGCUCCGCUCCA
Molecule: transfer RNA, 75 nt
Filed under: Desulfobacteraceae bacterium 4572_87
Lineage: Bacteria; Pseudomonadati; Thermodesulfobacteriota; Desulfobacteria; Desulfobacterales; Desulfobacteraceae
Description: tRNA-Gly
Rfam family: tRNA
About the family: Transfer RNA (tRNA) molecules are approximately 80 nucleotides in length.
Source: RNAcentral